GAUUAAGUUAUUAAGGGCGCACGGUGGAUGCCUUGGCACUAGAAGCCGAUGAAGGACGUUACUAACGACGAUAUGCUUUGGGGAGCUGUAAGUAAGCUUUGAUCCAGAGAUUUCCGAAUGGGGAAACCCAGCAUGAGUUAUGUCAUGUUAUCGAUAUGUGAAUACAUAGCAUAUCAGAAGGCACACCCGGAGAACUGAAACAUCUUAGUACCCGGAGGAAGAGAAAGAAAAUUCGAUUCCCUUAG
This 245-nucleotide ribosomal RNA is filed under the name Staphylococcus aureus. Its description in RNAcentral is "partial 23S ribosomal RNA". It matches the Rfam family "Bacterial large subunit ribosomal RNA", at positions 1 to 243 of the family's 2925-position model. Lineage: Bacteria; Bacillati; Bacillota; Bacilli; Caryophanales; Staphylococcaceae. The record is from RNAcentral.